GGGCUCACACAAGCGGUGGAUGAUGUGGCUUAAUUCGAGGCAACGCGAAGAACCUUAUCCUGGACUUGACAUGCUUGGAUGGCUCCCCUGAAAAGGGUGAGUCUGCCUUCGGGUGAAACUUGCACAGGUGCUGCAUGGCUGUCGUCAGCUCGUGUCGUGAGACGUCGCGUUAAGUCGCUUAACGAGCGCAACCCUUGUCCUUAGUUGCCAGCAUGUAAUGGUGGGGACUCUAAGGAGACCGCCGGUGUCAAACCGGAGGAAGGCGGGGACGACGUCAAGUCAUCAUGGCCUUUAUGUUCAGGGCUGCACACGUCAUACAAUGCAACAUACAAAGGGCAGCUAACCCGCGAGGGGGCGCUAAUCUCAAAAAGUGUUGCUCAGUUCGGAUUGCAGGCUGCAACUCGCCUGCAUG
This 412-nucleotide ribosomal RNA is filed under the name uncultured bacterium. RNAcentral's name for it is "bacterial SSU rRNA". It matches the Rfam family "Bacterial small subunit ribosomal RNA", at positions 917 to 1322 of the family's 1533-position model. The record is from RNAcentral.